GACGAACGCUGGCGGCGUGCUUAACACAUGCAAGUCGAACGAAGAGCGAUGGAAGCUUGCUUCUAUCAAUCUUAGUGGCGAACGGGUGAGUAACGCGUAAUCAACCUGCCCUUCAGAGGGGGACAACAGUUGGAAACGACUGCUAAUACCGCAUACGAUCCAAUCUCGGCAUCGAGGAUGGAUGAAAGGUGGCCUCUAUUUAUAAGCUAUCACUGAAGGAGGGGAUUGCGUCUGAUUAGCUAGUUGGAGGGGUAACGGCCCACCAAGGCGAUGAUCAGUAGCCGGUCUGAGAGGAUGAACGGCCACAUUGGGACUGAGACACGGCCCAGACUCCUACGGGAGGCAGCAGUGGGGAAUCUUCCGCAAUGGACGAAAGUCUGACGGAGCAACGCCGCGGGAGUGAUGACGGCCUUCGGGUUGUAAAGCUCUGUUAAUCGGGACGAAAGGUCCUCUUGCGAAUAGUUAGAGGAAUUGACGGUACCGGAAUAGAAAGCCACGGCUAACUACGUG
RNAcentral lists this ribosomal RNA (510 nucleotides) under uncultured bacterium. RNAcentral describes it as "partial 16S ribosomal RNA". It matches the Rfam family "Bacterial small subunit ribosomal RNA", at positions 28 to 507 of the family's 1533-position model. The record is from RNAcentral.